Molecule: long non-coding RNA, 200 nt
Filed under: Daucus carota (carrot)
Lineage: Eukaryota; Viridiplantae; Streptophyta; Magnoliopsida; Apiales; Apiaceae
Description: long non-coding RNA (DCAR_LNC005272)
Source: RNAcentral
UUCGAACACUUUUUAAGUGAAGGCUGUUUAUACAGUAUUAAAAAAUAAAGGUUCUUACACGCAAGGAUAGUUAUAGACUGCUAUCUCACGAAUAUAAGUUACAUGUUUUUGUGCACAAUCAAUCAAAAAUAAUUGGAGAAAGAUGACAAUGUAAGAACAUGAUUACUUUUCUGAAAAAAAACACACAAAAAUUAAGAUUC